GAGAAGGCGGGCGGGGCCUCCGUCAGCUCCGCGGUGAGGGGCGGCCAAGAUGGCGGCCGUGGGGGGGCCGGUGGAUGCGGUGCUGCCCGGUUCCCGUUUCCGCGUUCAACGCCGCCACCCCCCACUGGGAAGCAUGGGAACUUGAAAGCCACGUGACAGCAUCACCUGGCACCACUUAGCACGGCUCUCCCAGAGAGCAUGUAAGCCUCAUCCUCACUGCUCUGUACCCAGAAAACACUGUCAGACAAAUGACAGGAUUAAUGAGAUUCUGCGUUGUUUCCUG
Molecule: long non-coding RNA, 283 nt
Organism: Coturnix japonica (Japanese quail)
Lineage: Eukaryota; Metazoa; Chordata; Aves; Galliformes; Phasianidae
Source: RefSeq, a predicted model, not a curated record